GACGAACGCUGGCGGCGGGCUUAACACAUGCAAGUCGAACGGAAAGGCCCCCUUGUGGGGUUCUCGAGGGGCGAACGGGGGAGUAACACGUGAGUAACCUACCCUUGACUUUGGGAUAACGUCAGGACACUGGGGCUCAUACCGGAAAAGAGCUCCUGCUGCACGGGGGGGGUUGGAAAGUUUCGGCGGUUGGGGAUGGACUCUCGGCUUAUCAGCUUGUUGGUGGGGUAGUGGCUCACCGAGGCUUUGGCGGGUAGCCGGCCUGAGAGGGUGACCGGCCACAAUGGGACUGCGAUACGGCCCAGACUGCUACGGGAGGCAGCAGUGGGGAAUAUUGCACAAUGGGCGGAAGCCUGAUGCAGCAACGCCGCGUGCGUGAUGACGGCCUUCGGGUUGUAAACCGCUUUCGCCUGUGACGAAGCGUGAGUGACGGUAAUGAGUAAAUAAGCACCGGCUAACUACGUG
RNAcentral lists this ribosomal RNA (465 nucleotides) under uncultured bacterium. RNAcentral's name for it is "partial 16S ribosomal RNA". It matches the Rfam family "Bacterial small subunit ribosomal RNA", at positions 28 to 507 of the family's 1533-position model. The record is from RNAcentral.